GUUUCCAUUUGUGAACAACAUAUAUGUGUGUAUGAAUAAAAUUUAUAAAUGGACAUAACCUUAUACACAAGAUUUAAAAUAACCCCUGGGCACAUGUGGGCCCAACCCAGAGAUAGCCCUUCCUGAAAUGACUGGAGCCAAGAGCCUGUCACGCUCGCGGUAUUCAGUGCAAGGUCUGAUCGCGUCUUCUGUCACUCAAGGCCUGAGGGCGCGGAGCCUGGAGCUCUAUCCAUUAAGGGCGCUGGGGUGGGAACUGUCCAAUCAGGUUCACAGUCAGAGAGGAAGGGGUGGCUCCCGGUACCUGGCGGGGCCUUUGUCUCUUGCUCCAGCCAGAGCUCGAGGUUAGCUCUUCACUGCCCUGUGUCUUCUUUCCAAGGGUCUCGGUGAUUCGGCCACAGCCUCAGCCUCCAUCACGCGGUGAACUGAUGGUGCUGGAAGAUUCAUAGACUCCAGGACAUUCCUGAAGCCGAGAAAAGGUUAAGUAGGGUCUGGCCUGGAAUACUCUCCUAGAUGAAGAUAGCCCAACCAUGAGCCACCUUCGAAGCAGAUGAGAUGAAAUUAAAGCUCUUCAACUCCUAAAGGCCCAGAGACUAUCACAAAAGAGGUCAGAAAUCCUGAAGGUCACUUUCUGACAAACUCAGGAACCCCAGGUUUAUCUUGGAGCCUCAAGAGGAGAUAAAUUCACCCAACUCAGGCUGGAGUGCAGUGGAAUGAUCUUGGCUCACUUCCGUCUCC
Molecule: long non-coding RNA, 735 nt
Filed under: Homo sapiens (human)
Lineage: Eukaryota; Metazoa; Chordata; Mammalia; Primates; Hominidae
Description: HSALNT0396632
Source: RNAcentral